GAUGAAGAACGUAGUGAAAUGCGAUAACUAAUGUGAAUUGCAGAAUUCCGUGAAUCAUCGAGUCUUUGAACGCACAUUGCGCCCCCUGGUAUUCCGGGGGGCAUGCCUGUCCGAGCGUCAUUGCUGCCCAUCAAGCACGGCUUGUGUGUUGGGUCCCGUCCCCCUCUCCCGGGGGACGGACCCGAAAGGCAGCGGCGGCACCGCGUCCGGUCCUCGAGCGUAUGGGGCUUUGUCACCCGCUCUUGUAGGCCCGGCCGGCGCUUGCCGACACCCAACCAUUUUUUUCAGGUUGACCUCGGAUCAGGUAGGGAUACCCGCUGAACUUAAGCAUAUCAAUAAGCGGAGGA
Molecule: unclassified non-coding RNA, 347 nt
Filed under: soil metagenome
Description: partial contains 5.8S ribosomal RNA, internal transcribed spacer 2, and large subunit ribosomal RNA
Rfam family: 5.8S ribosomal RNA (bases 1-120)
Source: RNAcentral